AUAAUCUGGCACCUUCGGUGUCCGAGUUGUAAUCUCUAGAAAUGUUUUCCGCGUUGGACCGCACACAAGUCUGUUGGAAUACAGCGGCAUAGUGGUGAGACCCCCGUAUAUGGUGCGGACGCCCAGCGCUUUGUGAUACAUUUUCGAAGAGUCGAGUUGUUUGGGAAUGCAGCUCAAAUUGGGUGGUAAAUUCCAUCUAAAGCUAAAUAUUGGCGAGAGACCGAUAGCGAACAAGUACCGUGAGGGAAAGAUGAAAAGCACUUUGGAAAGAGAGUUAACAGUACGUGAAAUUGUUGGAAGGGAAACGCUUGAAGUCAGACUUGCUUGCCGAGCAAUCGGUUUGCAGGCCAGCAUCAGUUUUCCGGGAUGGAUAAUGGUAGAGAGAAGGUAGCAGUUUCGGCUGUGUUAUAGCUCUCUGCUGGAUACAUCUUGGGGGACUGAGGAACGCAGUGUGCCUUUGGCGGGGGUUUCGACCUCUUCACACUUAGGAUGCUGGUGGAAUGGCUUUAAACGACCCGUCUUGAAAC
This 527-nucleotide ribosomal RNA is filed under the name Rhodotorula mucilaginosa. RNAcentral describes it as "eukaryotic LSU rRNA". It matches the Rfam family "Eukaryotic large subunit ribosomal RNA", at positions 117 to 660 of the family's 3401-position model. Lineage: Eukaryota; Fungi; Basidiomycota; Microbotryomycetes; Sporidiobolales; Sporidiobolaceae. The record is from RNAcentral.